RNAcentral lists this ribosomal RNA (876 nucleotides) under uncultured bacterium. Its description in RNAcentral is "bacterial SSU rRNA". It matches the Rfam family "Bacterial small subunit ribosomal RNA", at positions 51 to 919 of the family's 1533-position model. The record is from RNAcentral.
ACACAUGCAAGUCGAGGGGCAGCAUGAUUGAAGCUUGCUUCAAUUGAUGGCGACCGGCGCACGGGUGAGUAACGCGUAUCCAACCUUCCGUACACUCAGGGAUAGCCUUUCGAAAGAAAGAUUAAUACCCGAUGGUAUGAUGAGAUUGCAUGAUAGCAUCAUUAAAGAUUUAUCGGUGUACGAUGGGGAUGCGUUCCAUUAGGUAGUAGGCGGGGUAACGGCCCACCUAGCCGACGAUGGAUAGGGGUUCUGAGAGGAAAGUCCCCCACAUUGGAACUGAGACACGGUCCAAACUCCUACGGGAGGCAGCAGUGAGGAAUAUUGGUCAAUGGACGAGAGUCUGAACCAGCCAAGUAGCGUGAAGGAUGAAGGUCCUACGGAUUGUAAACUUCUUUUAUAAGGGAAUAAAACCUCCCACGUGUGGGAGCUUGUAUGUACCUUAUGAAUAAGCAUCGGCUAACUCCGUGCCAGCAGCCGCGGUAAUACGGAGGAUGCGAGCGUUAUCCGGAUUUAUUGGGUUUAAAGGGAGCGCAGACGGGUCGUUAAGUCAGCUGUGAAAGUUUGGGGCUCAACCUUAAAAUUGCAGUUGAUACUGGCGUCCUUGAGUGCGGUUGAGGUGUGCGGAAUUCGUGGUGUAGCGGUGAAAUGCUUAGAUAUCACGAAGAACUCCGAUUGCGAAGGCAGCACACUAAGCCGUAACUGACGUUCAUGCUCGAAAGUGUGGGUAUCAAACAGGAUUAGAUACCCUGGUAGUCCACACGGUAAACGAUGGAUACUCGCUGUUGGCGAUAUACAGUCAGCGGCUUAGCGAAAGCGUUAAGUAUCCCACCUGGGGAGUACGCCGGCAACGGUGAAACUCAAAGGAAUUGACGGGGG